Molecule: ribosomal RNA, 253 nt
Filed under: uncultured bacterium
Lineage: Bacteria
Description: partial 16S ribosomal RNA
Rfam family: Bacterial small subunit ribosomal RNA
Source: RNAcentral
UACGGGGGGAGCAAGCGUUGUUCGGAUUUACUGGGCGUAAAGGGUGCGUAGGCGGCUUUGUAAGUCAGUGGUGAAAUAUGGCAGCUCAACUGUCAGGGUGCCAUUGAUACUGCAGAGCUUGAGUACAGAUGAGGUAGGCGGAAUUGACGGUGUAGCGGUGAAAUGCUUAGAUAUCGUCAAGAACACCGAUAGCGAAGGCAGCUUACUGGGCUGUAACUGACGCUGAGGCACGAAAGUGUGGGGAUCAAACAGG